CCUACGGGAGGCAGCAGUGAGGAAUAUUGGUCAAUGGACGCAAGUCUGAACCAGCCAUGCCGCGUGCAGGAAGAAGGCUCUAUGAGUGGUAAACUGCUUUUGUACGAGGGUAAACGCAGAUACGCGUAUCUGUCUGAAAGUAUCGUACGAAUAAGGAUCGGCUAACUCCGUGCCAGCAGCCGCGGUAAUACGGAGGAUUCAAGCGUUAUCCGGAUUUAUUGGGUUUAAAGGGUGCGUAGGCGGUCGGAUAAGUUAGAGGUGAAAUCCCGAGGCUCAACUUCGGAAUUGCCUCUGAUACUGGUCGGCUAGAGAGUAGUUGCGGUAGGCGGAAUGUAUGGUGUAGCGGUGAAAUGCUUAGAGAUCAUGCAGAACACCGAUUGCGAAGGCAGCUUACCAGGCUACUACUGACGUUGAGGCACGAAAGCGUGGGGAGCAAACAGGAUUAGAUACCCUGGUAGUC
This 460-nucleotide ribosomal RNA is filed under the name uncultured bacterium. RNAcentral describes it as "partial 16S ribosomal RNA". It matches the Rfam family "Bacterial small subunit ribosomal RNA", at positions 338 to 795 of the family's 1533-position model. The record is from RNAcentral.